This is a non-coding RNA of Paramuricea clavata, 113 nucleotides long. Lineage: Eukaryota; Metazoa; Cnidaria; Anthozoa; Malacalcyonacea; Plexauridae. The record is from the annotation of a GenBank genome assembly.
AACAAUUAUUGGAUGAGGCUGAGCAUGAUAUCAAGAAUUAUUCAGAGGUCUGAAUAAUUCUACCGAGAUCUGAAUAAUUCUUGAUAUCAUGCUCAGCCUCAUCCAGUAAAGCU